RNAcentral lists this ribosomal RNA (497 nucleotides) under uncultured bacterium. RNAcentral's name for it is "partial 16S ribosomal RNA". It matches the Rfam family "Bacterial small subunit ribosomal RNA", at positions 28 to 507 of the family's 1533-position model. The record is from RNAcentral.
GAUGAACGCUGGCGGCGUGCCUAAUACAUGCAAGUCGAGCGAACAGAUGAGGAGCUUGCUCCUCUGACGUUAGCGGCGGACGGGUGAGUAACACGUGGAUAACCUACCUAUAAGACUGGGAUAACUUCGGGAAACCGUAGCUAAUACCGGAUAAUAUAUUGAACCGCAUGGUUCAAUAGUGAAAGACGGUUUUGCUGUCACUUAUAGAUGGAUCCGCGCUGCAUUAGCUAGUUGGUAAGGUAACGGCUUACCAAGGCAACGAUGCGUAGCCGACCUGAGAGGGUGAUCGGCCACACUGGAACUGAGACACGGUCCAGACUCCUACGGGAGGCAGCAGUAGGGAAUCUUCCGCAAUGGGCGAAAGCCUGACGGAGCAACGCCGCGUGAGUGAUGAAGGUCUUCGGAUCGUAAAACUCUGUUAUUAGGGAAGAACAAAUGUGUAAGUAACUAUGCACGUCUUGACGGUACCUAAUCAGAAAGCCACGGCUAACUACGUG